Non-coding RNA from Paralichthys olivaceus (Japanese flounder), 280 nucleotides. The record is from RefSeq and is a predicted model, not a curated record. Lineage: Eukaryota; Metazoa; Chordata; Actinopteri; Pleuronectiformes; Paralichthyidae.
CAAACUCACCCCUCAGAGAGUUGAACCUGCUCAACUUCGCUCUGGUGGAGAUCUGUAACUUCCGGUCACACUGCGUCAUGAUGUCGCUGGAGCAGCCAGGCUGUCCUUGUUGGCCUCUAGGAAGAGGCUGCAGGAGGAGAAAGUGCUGGAAAAGCUGGACGAGAGGCCAACGAUGUCAGUGGAAAUUGCUGCAGUGUGCAGAUCGCAAGAAUGCAUGCUGAAUUGAGUGACCGUCUCGUUUGGCCAACCUUGGUGGCAGAACUGGACUCAUCCCAGAUGG